UACUAGGAUGGGUGACCUCCUG
RNAcentral lists this non-coding RNA (22 nucleotides) under Arabidopsis thaliana (thale cress). The record is from RNAcentral. Lineage: Eukaryota; Viridiplantae; Streptophyta; Magnoliopsida; Brassicales; Brassicaceae.